CGGGCAUAUAAACCGGGACUGUCCGGAUUGCCAUUACUGGUUGUUGCAUCGGCCGCCACUUUGAGCACACCUUAUAUAGUGAGCACUGAUGAAUGGGUGCCACUUCAUAAGCAUUGAUAGUGAGCACUGAGUUUCGGGUGCCACUGUAUGUUAUAUGAUACUAUAUUAUUUGAGUCAUCCACACGUAUAAGUUGUACUAAUCCCCUGAUGACGCUCAACAUCAGAGCAGAAAUGCGUAAGGUUGUUGCGAUAUUUGGUGUGGUCUGCAUUAAAUCUACUCACCAGUGGCCUUCCAACACCACGACUCUUGUGCCAGUAUGACUAAGAUUGCUUAGAAGAUUGAAACGCGUCACUGCUGUUCUGAUUCCUGUGUGCUGCUGUAUUGGAAUAAAAAUUUCAUGCAUUCGAGCGUCUGCUGCGCUGGAUAUUUCUUCUUUCCGCAUAUACUAUCUGUCAGCAUUGUCCGGGCUGAAUCCGUGAAGCGGCUGGUGGCAAUUAAGGGGAUUCAAAUUUUACCUCAUAAUUAUUCUGGAGAAGUCACAUCUGCUUUAAGGAAUGCAUCAUUAUUAUAUCGCCUUGAUAUGACACAUACUUAGGCUGAAUUGAUGUUUUAGAAACAUUUUUUGCUGCAAAGAUUUUUUUCUUAUGGUGGA
Long non-coding RNA from Hyla sarda, 653 nucleotides. RefSeq lists it as uncharacterized. The transcript is spliced from 4 exons. The record is from RefSeq and is a predicted model, not a curated record. NCBI's taxonomy places the organism in Eukaryota, Metazoa, Chordata, Amphibia, Anura, Hylidae.